This is a long non-coding RNA of Ostrea edulis (European flat oyster), 212 nucleotides long. RefSeq lists it as uncharacterized. NCBI's taxonomy places the organism in Eukaryota, Metazoa, Mollusca, Bivalvia, Ostreida, Ostreidae. The transcript has 3 exons. The record is from RefSeq and is a predicted model, not a curated record.
GAGGAACAAUCCUGCACAUCAUUUGUGGAAACGGAAGAGUUAGAGGCAGAACAGGAGGAACAAUCAUGAACAUCAUUAGUUGAAAUGGGAGAGUUAGAGGCAGAACAGUCAUUUCACCCAAGGAGGCAUGCAUAUGGAUUUAGGCUGUAAAAAAGAACCUCAAACAAAAUGCCGUCUGGUGAAUUAGAUAAAGUUUCUGAGUGUAGGAUCUG